AGGGGAGCAAUCCCCUGAGUACAGCGGCGCACGGGUGAGUAACACGUAGGUGAUCUCCCCUCGAGCCCGGAAUAACCUACCGAAAGGUGGGCUAAUACCGGAUAUGACCACGGAAGUUUCGGCUUCUGCGGUGAAAGAUGGCCUCUACCUGUAAGCUAUCACUCAAGGAUGAGCCUGCGUGCCAUUAGCUAGUUGGUGAGGUAACGGCUCACCAAGGCUAUGAUGGCUAGCUGGUCUGAGAGGAUGGCCAGCCACACUGGGACUGAAACACGGCCCAGACUCCUACGGGAGGCAGCAGUGGGGGAUAUUGCGCAAUGGGCGAAAGCCUGACGCAGCGACGCCGCGUGGGUGAUGAAGGCCUUCGGG
This 366-nucleotide ribosomal RNA is filed under the name uncultured bacterium. RNAcentral's name for it is "bacterial SSU rRNA". It matches the Rfam family "Bacterial small subunit ribosomal RNA", at positions 73 to 422 of the family's 1533-position model. The record is from RNAcentral.